UACAGAGGGUGCAAGCGUUAAUCGGAAUUACUGGGCGUAAAGCGUGCGUAGACGGUUAUGUAAGUCAGGUGUGAAAGCCCCGGGCUCAACCUGGGAAUGGCAUUUGAGACUGCAUAGCUAGGGUGCGGAAGAGGGAAGCGGAAUUUCCGGUGUAGCGGUGAAAUGCGUAGAUAUCGGAAGGAACAUCAGUGGCGAAAGCGGCUUCCUGGUCCAGCACCGACGUUCAGGCACGAAA
This 235-nucleotide ribosomal RNA is filed under the name uncultured bacterium. RNAcentral describes it as "partial 16S ribosomal RNA". It matches the Rfam family "Bacterial small subunit ribosomal RNA", at positions 524 to 758 of the family's 1533-position model. The record is from RNAcentral.